CGCCUUGCCAGCCCGCUCAGAAACUUAAAGGAAUUCGACGGGGGCCCGCACAAGCGGUGGAGUAUGUGGUUUAAUUCGAUGCAACGCGAAGAACCUUACCUGGUCUUGACAUCCCGGAGACCCUUAGGAAACUAGGGGGUGCUUCCAUCUGGAAGAAUCUGGAGACAGGUGCUGCAUGGCUGUCGUCAGCUCGUGUCGUGAGAUGUUGGGUUAAGUCCCGCAACGAGCGCAACCCUUGCCUUUAGUUGCCAGCAGUUCGGCUGGGCACUCUAAAGGGACUGCCGGUGUUAAACCGGAGGAAGGUGGGGAUGACGUCAAGUCCUCAUGGCCUUUAUGACCAGGGCUACACACGUACUACAAUGGCCGAUACAAAGGGCAGCGACACUGCGAGGUGAAGCCAAUCCCGUAAAAUCGGUCUCAGUCCGGAUUGGAGUCUGCAACUCGACUCCAUGAAGUUGGAAUCGCUAGUAAUCGUGGAUCAGCAUGCCACGGUGAAUACGUUCCCGGGCCUU
This 512-nucleotide ribosomal RNA is filed under the name uncultured Desulfobulbus sp. Its description in RNAcentral is "bacterial SSU rRNA". It matches the Rfam family "Bacterial small subunit ribosomal RNA", at positions 903 to 1382 of the family's 1533-position model. The record is from RNAcentral. Lineage: Bacteria; Pseudomonadati; Thermodesulfobacteriota; Desulfobulbia; Desulfobulbales; Desulfobulbaceae.